This 450-nucleotide ribosomal RNA is filed under the name uncultured bacterium. RNAcentral's name for it is "bacterial SSU rRNA". It matches the Rfam family "Bacterial small subunit ribosomal RNA", at positions 354 to 796 of the family's 1533-position model. The record is from RNAcentral.
GUGGGGAAUUUUGGACAAUGGGCGAAAGCCUGAUCCAGCCAUGCCGCGUGCAGGAUGAAGGCCUUCGGGUUGUAAACUGCUUUUGUACGGAACGAAAAGACUCCUUCUAAUAAAGGGGGUCCAUGACGGUACCGUAAGAAUAAGCACCGGCUAACUACGUGCCAGCAGCCGCGGUAAUACGUAGGGUGCAAGCGUUAAUCGGAAUUACUGGGCGUAAAGCGUGCGCAGGCGGUUAUAUAAGACAGAUGUGAAAUCCCCGGGCUCAACCUGGGAACUGCAGUUGUGACUGUAUAGCUAGAGUACGGUAGAGGGGGAUGGAAUUCCGCGUGUAGCAGUGAAAUGCGUAGAUAUGCGGAGGAACACCGAUGGCGAAGGCAAUCCCCUGGACCUGUACUGACGCUCAUGCACGAAAGCGUGGGGAGCAAACAGGAUUAGAAACCCGGGUAGUCC